RNAcentral lists this ribosomal RNA (478 nucleotides) under uncultured bacterium. RNAcentral's name for it is "partial 16S ribosomal RNA". It matches the Rfam family "Bacterial small subunit ribosomal RNA", at positions 28 to 523 of the family's 1533-position model. The record is from RNAcentral.
GACGAACGCUGGCGGCGUGCUUAACACAUGCAAGUCGAGCGGUAAGGCCUUUCGGGGUACACGAGCGGCGAACGGGUGAGUAACACGUGGGUGAUCUGCCCUGCACUCUGGGAUAAGCCUGGGAAACUGGGUCUAAUACUGGAUAUGACCUCAGCAUGCAUGUGCUGGGGUGGAAAGCUUUUGUGGUGCAGGAUGGGCCCGCGGCCUAUCAGCUUGUUGGUGGGGUAAUGGCCCACCAGGGCGACGACGGGUAGCCGACCGGGGGGGGUGACCGGCCACCCUGGGACGGAGACCCGGCCCAGACUCCUAGGGGGGGCAGCAGUGGGGAAUAUUGCACAAUGGGCGGAAGCCUGAUGAAGCGACGCCGCGUGAGGGAUGAAGGCCUUCGGGUUGUAACCCUCUUUCAGCGGGGACGAAGCGUGAGUGACGGUACCUGCAGAAGAAGCACCGGCUAACUCCGUGCCAGCCGCCGCGGUAA